Long non-coding RNA from Suricata suricatta (meerkat), 709 nucleotides. RefSeq lists it as uncharacterized. The record is from RefSeq and is a predicted model, not a curated record. The transcript is spliced from 4 exons. NCBI's taxonomy places the organism in Eukaryota, Metazoa, Chordata, Mammalia, Carnivora, Herpestidae.
CAGUUUUAUCCACACUGAGCCUCUAACAACUCAUCAAUUACAAUUGAGGUUUUCCUAUCCCUGAACUGGUUUGAGGUUUCUGCUCCUGUACGUUGUGAUUCUUUCUACCUUCCUAUCUGUGUCUUCAGUAUUGAGGGCAGCAGUUUGCCCUGUGACCUCAAUUCUCUGAUGGAUCUAGGAAGAGUUGUUGAUUUUCAGUUCAUUCAACUUUUUACUUACUGUUAGGGCAAAGCAAUGACUUCCAAGCUCCUUACGUGCCAGACUGAAAACUAGACUCUCUUAAUUGGUCAAUGUACAGAAGUAAGUAAGCAGGAAACUGAAGAGAGAGCAAACCAAGAGGAUGUCCCAGCAGAGAGAAAAGUGCAAUGACCAUGCAGCUAACAUUUUGUUGGUGUGUGCAAGGAACAAUAAGGGAAUAAGGGCAUUAACCCCAACCAGCUGGAUCUGAGACCAGAGGCCAUGAACCUUUUCUGCAGAGCUGUGACCUGAGGAAAGAUUGAAUCCUAGAAUUGCAUGGCACAUUCUGAAAGCAAAAACUUCAAAGCAAAUUCCCUGUUAAUGACUAACCGACUAUAGGGACCCCCAUAUGCUGGGAUUGUUGGACGAAUCCUCCCAUCCUUUUUUUUUCUCCCCUUUUUCUCUCAACCCUGUCCAGGGCUAGCCUGGUGACUGAGCUGUAACUGUGUGGUGAGGUGCAGGGUCCUGAAAC